This 253-nucleotide ribosomal RNA is filed under the name uncultured bacterium. Its description in RNAcentral is "partial 16S ribosomal RNA". It matches the Rfam family "Bacterial small subunit ribosomal RNA", at positions 524 to 776 of the family's 1533-position model. The record is from RNAcentral.
UACGGAGGAUGCGAGCGUUAUCCGGAAUCAUUGGGUUUAAAGGGUGCGUAGGCUGGUAUUUAAGUCAGUGGUGAAAUUUUCGUGCUUAGCAUGAGAGCUGCCAUUGAUACUGGGUACCUAGAGUGUAUUUGAUGUGGGCGGAAUGUGUUGUGUAGCGGUGAAAUGCUUAGAUAUGACACAGAACACCGAUAGCGAAGGCAGCUCACAAAGUUACAACUGACGCUGAUGCACGAAAGCGUGGGGAUCAAACAGG